Molecule: long non-coding RNA, 301 nt
Organism: Cucurbita maxima (winter squash)
Lineage: Eukaryota; Viridiplantae; Streptophyta; Magnoliopsida; Cucurbitales; Cucurbitaceae
Exons: 2
Source: RefSeq, a predicted model, not a curated record
UAAAAUUAUCACUAGAUAAUUAUCAAAGCAUCUCAUUGUCACCAAAAGUAAAAGGGAUUGAAGAAGAUGGAUGAAGAAAUUAUUCUUCCUUCAGAACUCGUAUUCAUCGAAUCCUCCAUUAGAAUACGUCUUAUAAAGAAAGAUAAUCCUGAUGUAAAAACAAUCGUGCUAUUAGCUGGAACUAGAGGAGACUAAAGAUUUCAGACACGAUCGAGUUCGAGUUUUUGUUAAUAUAAACGAUAAAGUCGUUGAAGUUCCUCAAGUUGAUUAAAAUAAUUUGAAUAUCCAUGUCUGAAAUAAU